GACGAACGCUGGCGGCGUGCUUAACACAUGCAAGUCGAACGGUAAGGCCCUUCGGGGUACACGAGUGGCGAACGGGUGAGUAACACGUGGGUGAUCUGCCCUGCACUUCGGGAUAAGCCUGGGAAACUGGGUCUAAUACCGGAUAGGACUCCGGACUGCAUGGUCUGGGGUGGAAAGCUCUUGCGGUGUGGGAUGGGCCCGCGGCCUAUCAGCUUGUUGGGGGGGUGAUGGCCUACCAAGGCGACGACGGGUAGCCGGCCUGGGAGGGUGACCGGCCACACUGGGACUGAGAUACUGCCCAGACUCCUACGGGAGGCAGCAGUGGGGAAUAUUGCACAAUGGGCGCAAGCCUGAUGCAGCGACGCCGCGUGAGGGAUGACGGCCUUCGGGUUGUAAACCUCUUUCAGCAUCGACGAAGCGAAAGUGACGGUAGGUGCAGAAGAAGGACCGGCCAACUACGUGCCAGCCGCCGCCGUAA
Molecule: ribosomal RNA, 478 nt
Filed under: uncultured bacterium
Lineage: Bacteria
Description: partial 16S ribosomal RNA
Rfam family: Bacterial small subunit ribosomal RNA
Source: RNAcentral